UUUGUACACACCGCCCGUCACACCAUGGGAGUGGGUUGCAAAAGAAGUAGGUAGCUUAACCUUCGGGAGGGCGCUUACCACUUUGUGAUUCAUGACUGGGGUGAAGUCGUAACAAGGUAACCGUAGGGGAACCUGCGGUUGGAUCACCUCCUUA
RNAcentral lists this ribosomal RNA (154 nucleotides) under Klebsiella aerogenes. RNAcentral describes it as "partial 16S ribosomal RNA". It matches the Rfam family "Bacterial small subunit ribosomal RNA", at positions 1380 to 1533 of the family's 1533-position model. The record is from RNAcentral. RNAcentral also lists the same sequence under 3 other names. Lineage: Bacteria; Pseudomonadati; Pseudomonadota; Gammaproteobacteria; Enterobacterales; Enterobacteriaceae.